CUCAGCUGGGAGAGCACCUGCUUUGCAAGCAGGGGGUCGUCGGU
This 44-nucleotide transfer RNA is filed under the name Candidatus Bartonella washoeensis. RNAcentral describes it as "Bartonella washoeensis partial tRNA-Ala". The record is from RNAcentral. Lineage: Bacteria; Pseudomonadati; Pseudomonadota; Alphaproteobacteria; Hyphomicrobiales; Bartonellaceae.